Molecule: ribosomal RNA, 401 nt
Filed under: uncultured Eubacteriales bacterium
Lineage: Bacteria; Bacillati; Bacillota; Clostridia; Eubacteriales
Description: bacterial SSU rRNA
Rfam family: Bacterial small subunit ribosomal RNA
Source: RNAcentral
UGGGGAAUUUUGCACAAUGGGGGGAACCCUGAUGCAGCGACGCCGCGUGAGCGAAGAAGGUUUUCGGAUCGUAAAGCUCUGUCCUAUGGAAAGAUAAUGACGGUACCAUAGGAGGAAGCCCCGGCUAACUACGUGCCAGCAGCCGCGGUAAUACGUAGGGGGCAAGCGUUGUCCGGAAUUAUUGGGCGUAAAGGGUACGUAGGCGGCCUAAGAAGUCAGAUGUUAAAGCGUAGGGCUUAACCCUAUAAAGCAUAUGAAACUGAUAGGCUUGAGUGAAGGAGAGGAAAGUGGAAUUCCUAGUGUAGCGGUGAAAUGCGUAGAUAUUAGGAGGAAUACCAGUGGCGAAGGCGACUUUCUGGACUUUAACUGACGCUGAGGUACGAAAGCGCGGGGAGCAAACA